GAUCUGUCUGCUUAAUUGCGUUUCAAAUUUUUAACCNAGGACCGGGUUUUGGUUUGGCUAGUGGUCCUACGAUGACUGUGAACUGUCAUGUCUUCNGAUGUACGACUAUCGGUCUAGGAUCACAUGACUUGCCCCUGGGACUCUUUUGAACGCAACGGACGUGAUUGCAACCCCU
Molecule: ribosomal RNA, 175 nt
Filed under: Globigerinoides ruber albus
Lineage: Eukaryota; Foraminifera; Rotaliida; Globigerinidae
Description: partial small subunit ribosomal RNA
Source: RNAcentral